GAUGAACGCUGGCGGCGGGCCUAACACAUGCAAGUCGAGCGAAAAGACGAGGAGCGUGUUCUCCUGACGUUGGCGGCGGACGGGUGAGUAACGCGUACAUAACCUACCUAUAAGUCUGGGAGAACUACGGGAAGCCGGAUCUAAUACCGGCUAAUAUGUUCAACCGCAUAGAGCAAUAGUGAUAGACGGUUUUGCCGUCACUUAUAGAUGGUGCCGUGCCGCAUUAGCUAGUUGGUAAGGUAACGGCUUACCAAGGCUACGAUGCGUAGCCGACCUGAGAGGAUGAUCGGCCACACUGGAACUGAGACACGGUCCAGACUCCUACGGGAGGCAGCAGUAGGGAAUCUUCCGCAAUGGGCGCAAGCCUGACCGAGCCAUGCCGCGUGGGUGAUGAAGGUCUUCGGAUUGUAAAACUCUUUUAUUAGGGAAGAAAAAAUGUGUAAGAAUGUCUGCACGUCCUGACGGUACCUAAUGAGAAAGCCCCGGCUAACUUCGUG
This 497-nucleotide ribosomal RNA is filed under the name uncultured bacterium. RNAcentral's name for it is "partial 16S ribosomal RNA". It matches the Rfam family "Bacterial small subunit ribosomal RNA", at positions 28 to 507 of the family's 1533-position model. The record is from RNAcentral.